RNAcentral lists this ribosomal RNA (498 nucleotides) under uncultured Ruminococcus sp. Its description in RNAcentral is "bacterial SSU rRNA". It matches the Rfam family "Bacterial small subunit ribosomal RNA", at positions 8 to 507 of the family's 1533-position model. The record is from RNAcentral. Lineage: Bacteria; Bacillati; Bacillota; Clostridia; Eubacteriales; Oscillospiraceae.
AGAGUUUGACUCUGCUCAGAGAACGCUGGCGGCGUGCCUAACACAUGCAAGUCGAACGGAACUUAGUUGAAGGAAUUACUUCGGAAGGACAUUGGUUAAGUUUAGUGGCGACGGGUGAGUAACGCGUGAGUAACCUGCCUCCGAGAGGGGAAUAACAAUCUGAAAAGAUUGCUAAUACCGCAUAACAUAGCGAAGCCGCAUGGCAGCGCUAUCAAAGAUUUAUCGCUCGGAGAUGGACUCGCGUCCGAUUAGUUAGUUGGUGAGGUAACGGCUCACCAAGACCGCGAUCGGUAGCCGGACUGAGAGGUUGAACGGCCACAUUGGGACUGAGACACGGCCCAGACUCCUACGGGAGGCAGCAGCGGGGGAUAUUGCGCAAUGGGGGAAACCCUGACGCAGCAACGCCGCGUGAAGGAUGAAGGUUUUCGGAUUGUAAACUUCUUUUAUUAAGGACGAAAAAUGACGGUACUUAAUGAAUAAGCUCCGGCUAACUACGUG